Molecule: transfer RNA, 72 nt
Filed under: Ictidomys tridecemlineatus (thirteen-lined ground squirrel)
Lineage: Eukaryota; Metazoa; Chordata; Mammalia; Rodentia; Sciuridae
Description: Spermophilus tridecemlineatus (thirteen-lined ground squirrel) tRNA
Rfam family: tRNA
About the family: Transfer RNA (tRNA) molecules are approximately 80 nucleotides in length. Their secondary structure includes four short double-helical elements and three loops (D, anti-codon, and T loops).
Source: Rfam by way of RNAcentral
UGGGGUGUAGCUCAGUGGUAGAGUAUUUUUCUGGCAUGCAUGAGGCCCUGGGUUUAAUCCCUAGCAACACAC